GCUGGACUUCCAGGCCCGGCUCGGCCCAUAAUGCUAUGAGAGGUUGUCACUGCGUUGACACGUAAGCUUUCCCCCUCCCCUUCCGCUGACGCGACGCCCACCUCGGCGGCUCGGCCCGCGCUGGUUUCCGUCCGUUCAUUGCGGUGCGGAGAGCCGGAGACAGACCACCGGGCCGUGCGGGCGCUCGCGGCUCCGCUCCCAGAUCCCGCCGCGCGGGCAAGCUUCGAGGAGUGACCAUGCAGGAGCCCACGGAGACCAGGCCAGCUGGUGCGGAGGAUCUCGCGAACGGCGCGCGAGACGGGGAGGGACCUCCGCCGCAGGUUGAGGAGGAGGAAGUGGAGGAGGAGCCGCCGCGAUCGGCGACGGCAAAGCAGGAGGAGGCGACGGCGGCGCUGGGGUCGGAGGGGUCCCGCCCGUUCACUAUGCGGGAGCUCCUCGGCGAGCUCAAAGAGGAUGGCGAGACGGCUGCUGGCGGCAGCAGCGCGAGAUCUGCGUUCGGCGAUGGGAACAGGGUCGGAUCCGAUGAUGCCGAGGGCUCGUUCUACAGCCAAGAUAGCACACAACAGUUUUCAUCCCACCAUGAUGUGGCGAUGGACUUGAUAAAUAGUGUAACUGGAGUUGAUGAGGAAGGGCAUUCUCGCCAAAGGAUUCUUUCUUUUGCUGCCAAAAGGUAUGUAAAUGCAAUUGAAAGAAAUCCUAAUGACCCUGAUGCAUAUUAUAAUUGGGCUCUAGUCCUCCAGGAGAGUGCAGACAAUGUGGAUCCCAAUUCUAGCUCCUCUAAAGAUGCAUUGCUUGAGGAGGCUUGCAAAAAGUAUGCUGAAGCUACCCGGCUUUGUCCAACUCUUUAUGAUGCAUAUUAUAACUGGGCUAUUGCGAUUGCUGAUCGGGCUAAAAUGCGAGGUCGGACAAAAGAAGCCGAAGAACUCUGGAAACAGGCAAUACUGAAUUAUGAGAAGGCAGUCCAGCUUAAUUGGAAUAGCCCACAGGCUCUCAAUAACUGGGGUCUUGGGCUACAGGAGCUGAGUGCAAUUGUUCCUGCACGGGAUAAACAGACCAUCAUAAAAACCGCUAUCAGUAAGUUCCGUGCUGCAAUUCAGCUGCAAUUUGAUUUCCAUCGGGCAAUAUACAACCUUGGAACUGUUUUGUAUGGUUUAGCUGAGGAUACCGUGAGAUCUGGGAAGCCAGAUGUCUCUCCUAAUGAGCUUUAUAGUCAGUCUGCUAUCUAUGUUGCUGCUGCUCAUGCUCUAAAGCCAAAUUACUCGGUCUAUCGGAGUGCUUUGCGAUUAGUCCGCUCAAUGUUACCUCUGCCAUAUCUCAAAGUUGGGUAUUUGACGGCUCCUCCAGCUAACAAUUCCAUUGCACCACACAAAGAUUGGGAGAGAUCACAGUUCAUUUUGAAUCAUGAGGGACUCCAGCAGGUUGAUGCUUCUGACCAGCCUCCAUCACAAUCCCCAGGGCAUUUGGACAGGGGCAGAAAGCCUGUCAGAAUAAACAUUGCAGAUAUUGUUUCAGUGUCAGCAUGUGCUGAUUUAACCUUACCAAGUGGCGCUGGCCUCUGUAUAGAAACUAUUUCUGGUCCUACAUUCUUGACAUGGGUUACACUUUUAAAUCCGCUUGGUCUUCAAUAGAUUGACUGAACAAAAUGAACAGCCAACCUUUUUGAACUUAAUGGGCGGCAAACAUGGUUGCCGAUAGUUGGGAGGCUCUCGAAAGUUGGCUAGACGCCAUACGCCUUGUCUACACUAUUUUUGCAAGAGGGAAGAGCGACGUACUUGCCGGUAUUAUUACUGGUUAAAUGUCUUGCUGCAAAUGCAAAACUGCCACCGAAGAGCCGCAAAGUUUUGGAGAUUCAGCGGCAGCCUUAUCGGUUGAAUGCCCUCUUUGGUUUGUGUUAUUAUUUUUCCCGUCUGUGAUGUCAGUCUUCCUAGAUUUAGCCAUUUAGGGUAUAUCAUAUAUAUUCAUUUGUAACUACUUUCCACUGAUUGGCGAUAGGUCCGUUUUCCUUUUGUAAAAGUGGCCGUGUGACUGUAUUGUGCAUUCACAGAAGAUGUAUCGGACAUUCUUAAGUUUUUGAUUUUGUUUCUCUGUAACAAUGUAUCAAGGCACGAUGGUCUAUGCUUAAAUUUACUGCUUGGGACGGCGCUGCUGUGCUGGGCUGCAGGGCCUUCAACAUGUAUCAAGCCAAGGAUCCGGAGAGGUUACAAGA
Zea mays is the source of this 2206-nucleotide RNA transcript. RefSeq lists it as uncharacterized. The transcript is spliced from 15 exons. Lineage: Eukaryota; Viridiplantae; Streptophyta; Magnoliopsida; Poales; Poaceae. The record is from RefSeq and is marked provisional.